GACGUAGGGCGCGAGCGUUGUCCGGAUUUAUUGGGCGUAAAGAGCUCGUAGGCGGUUUGUCGCGUCGAAUGUGAAAACCCGGGGCUCAACUCCGGGCCUGCAUUCGAUACGGGCAGACUAGAGUUCGGUAGGGGAGACUGGAAUUCCUGGUGUAGCGGUGAAAUGCGCAGAUAUCAGGAGGAACACCGGUGGCGAAGGCGGGUCUCUGGGCCGAUACUGACGCUGAGGAGCGAAAGCAUGGGGAGCGAACAGG
This 253-nucleotide ribosomal RNA is filed under the name uncultured bacterium. RNAcentral's name for it is "partial 16S ribosomal RNA". It matches the Rfam family "Bacterial small subunit ribosomal RNA", at positions 524 to 776 of the family's 1533-position model. The record is from RNAcentral.